UGUGGGAGCGGGCUUGCUCGCGAUUCAGGCAACUCGGUUUAUCUGUAAGACCGAGUUGAUUUCAUCGCGGGCAAGCCCGCUCCCACA
RNAcentral lists this unclassified non-coding RNA (87 nucleotides) under Pseudomonas fragi. Lineage: Bacteria; Pseudomonadati; Pseudomonadota; Gammaproteobacteria; Pseudomonadales; Pseudomonadaceae. The record is from RNAcentral.